Molecule: non-coding RNA, 1273 nt
Organism: Marmota flaviventris (yellow-bellied marmot)
Lineage: Eukaryota; Metazoa; Chordata; Mammalia; Rodentia; Sciuridae
Source: RefSeq, a predicted model, not a curated record
CCUAGGGGUGAAGAGACUAAGAAUCAAGAGAAGGCGCUUGUGGUCCGGCCAGCGCCCUCCUUGGAGGGCUUGGAACCUUGGAGUCCCACGCCCGGAUUCCACCCUUGGAGUCCUGAGGGCUAGACUAGCGGUAGUGUUGGAAACCUUAUUUCUAGGUCUCACAGAGAAAACAGGUGCGUGGGCACGAACCCACCAACACACUGGUAGUCACGCUUUACGGAGACUUUUCAGAACACUUUUUGGCUUUAGAGAGGAAGUGAGGCAGCACCAGAGAGAAAAACAAGAGAGGAACGGAAGAACUUUGCAUUGUCAAGACUUCUACGCAGCCCAAACAAUCUACGCAGCUUUUGGCGUAGCAAACUUUGCUAAGCAUGAAGCAAGACACACGCGGGCAGACAGCAGCUUCCCAGGAACUUCGAUAGAUUGAGGAAAGCGACCGUCAUCCAGCGUGCACAACCUGGAAUUCAUUUUCUUUUGGUCAGUGGCUCAGAAAAGUUAAGCUUGGUACCGAAAAUAUACAGCUGGAAAGCGCCUGGUAGAGUCUGGCCUGGAACUGGCGCUCGGCAAGAAGCAGUUAGGUGGGUUGAUUGUGUGACCCUGCAGUGCCUGGAAUAUCUUUCCUGCGUUCACCGGCCUAUGCCCUGGGGGUGACCCUGCAUUUCCCCUGGUCCCGGAAGCGUCGACUUCCUGGGUACUCACCUCGGUUGACGAUCUUGCCGAAGAGGUGGGGCCCCGGAGCAGUGGGGCAGUUCCAGCGGCGGUUCCGGAACUGCCACUUGCACUCCCGGACUGCGCUCUGCAGCCCACCGCUCACGCUGUGCAGGAUCCCCGGGUUCUGGCGGAUCAACCGCCGCUGCUUGCGGCUCAGCAGUUGCAGACUGGGCUCCAGCACCAGCUGCAGACUCUUGGAGUCGGUUAGCAGGUUCGUAGAGGAGGCUAUGUUCACGAUACCCCUGGUGGGACGCACAAUGGGAGCUCAGACUGGGGAAGGGGACCUGCACUCUAAUCAUAAAGAAGAGUUUCUAACCUCACUCCUCAGAACUAGGAGUUUCUGAACAUACCAAUACAUAGGAGCAUGCACCUGACCUUUGGGAAUACAUACCAGGAGAGUUCGGGGGAGAUCAAUUAUAAGUUGCUGCCUGGGGCAGUGUGUCAGGAAGGAGGUGGCAGCUAUGAUAGGAGAAACCCAGAAGCUUGACUAAGGGAUGCAGAGUGUCUGGUACUGUUGGAAGGAUCUCACUAAAUUGCCUGAGCUGGCCUUGAACUUGUGAUC